AAUAUAAGUGGAGGCGUCGCGCUGGCGGGCAUUCCUGAAGCUGACAGCAUUCGGGCCGAGAUGUCUCGCUCCGUGGCCUUAGCUGUGCUCGCGCUACUCUCUCUUUCUGGCCUGGAGGCUAUCCAGCGUUUGAAGAUGCCGCAUUUGGAUUGGAUGAAUUCCAAAUUCUGCUUGCUUGCUUUUUAAUAUUGAUAUGCUUAUACACUUACACUUUAUGCACAAAAUGUAGGGUUAUAAUAAUGUUAACAUGGACAUGAUCUUCUUUAUAAUUCUACUUUGAGUGCUGUCUCCAUGUUUGAUGUAUCUGAGCAGGUUGCUCCACAGGUAGCUCUAGGAGGGCUGGCAACUUAGAGGUGGGGAGCAGAGAAUUCUCUUAUCCAACAUCAACAUCUUGGUCAGAUUUGAACUCUUCAAUCUCUUGCACUCAAAGCUUGUUAAGAUAGUUAAGCGUGCAUAAGUUAACUUCCAAUUUACAUACUCUGCUUAGAAUUUGGGGGAAAAUUUAGAAAUAUAAUUGACAGGAUUAUUGGAAAUUUGUUAUAAUGAAUGAAACAUUUUGUCAUAUAAGAUUCAUAUUUACUUCUUAUACAUUUGAUAAAGUAAGGCAUGGUUGUGGUUAAUCUGGUUUAUUUUUGUUCCACAAGUUAAAUAAAUCAUAAAACUUGAUGUGUUAUCUCUU
RNAcentral lists this long non-coding RNA (679 nucleotides) under Homo sapiens (human). Its description in RNAcentral is "HSALNT0219615". Lineage: Eukaryota; Metazoa; Chordata; Mammalia; Primates; Hominidae. The record is from RNAcentral.